Molecule: long non-coding RNA, 184 nt
Organism: Pocillopora damicornis (cauliflower coral)
Lineage: Eukaryota; Metazoa; Cnidaria; Anthozoa; Scleractinia; Pocilloporidae
Source: RefSeq, a predicted model, not a curated record
CCUUGCUAUGGGCGAUUCGGACAAACUCACGACGCUUGCUGCUCACCCAAAAGAUGCAACUUCCAUGGAGGAUGCGAGUGAGAACCAAGCAAAAGAUGGAAAACGAGACCAGAAUAACUUACCACCUUGUUGAAGCACCAGCUCCGCUUGCGAAUAACCGGUCAAUAAAAAUUUCCACUGAUUA